This 253-nucleotide ribosomal RNA is filed under the name uncultured bacterium. RNAcentral describes it as "partial 16S ribosomal RNA". It matches the Rfam family "Bacterial small subunit ribosomal RNA", at positions 524 to 776 of the family's 1533-position model. The record is from RNAcentral.
UACGGAGGGUGCAAGCGUUGUCCGGAUUUAUUGGGUUUAAAGGGUGCGUAGGCGGCCUAUUAAGUCAGGGGUGAAAGACUGCAGCUCAACUGUAGCAGUGCCUUUGAUACUGAUGGGCUUGAGUCUAGAUGAGGCCGGCGGAAUGGGUGGUGUAGCGGUGAAAUGCAUAGAUACCAUCCAGAACACCGAUUGCGAAGGCAGCCGGCUAAACUAGCACUGACGCUGAGGCACGAAAGCGUGGGGAUCGAACAGG